RNAcentral lists this long non-coding RNA (1653 nucleotides) under Homo sapiens (human). RNAcentral describes it as "HSALNT0034702". The record is from RNAcentral. Lineage: Eukaryota; Metazoa; Chordata; Mammalia; Primates; Hominidae.
CCAGGGUUUUACUGAGAGCUAGGCACGGCUCAUAUCUUACUUAAUUAUUACAACAAGCUUAUAAGAAAGGAAUUUAAGCCCUCUUUGCAAAAGAGAAACCAUAGAUGCUCGUGAUUAAAUAAACUACUCAAGGUCACCCAAUCAAGUCAGGGCUUGAAUCCUGGUUGUCCUAGUUCCUAACCCAAUGUAUUUUCCCAUAUCUUAACAGACCAAAAUGAUUUGAUCAAAGCUGGUAGAAAGUGCGUCAGCCAUCCCUAGAAUUGACUUCCUGUGGACGUGGGUAACAUUCUGGAGUCAACAUCAGAACAAACGGCCUGAAAAAAUUCAUAUAAACUUUUGAGAAACUAAGCAUCCUUCUGGCCUUCAGGAUCUGUAGUUAUCAUAUAUUUGAAGCCUCUUCUCUGAGAUUAGGUUUUCCUUUUUCUCCACCUAUUUCUCAAGCACCAUUAAGCCUAAUUUUAUUUUGUAUUUGACUCUCUACCAUGGAUGGGAUAGAAGAAGUCAACCGUCCCUGGAGUUCACCGUUCAAAUCUUGGGCGUUCAUUUAAGAGGACCAAUGGCAAAGUAGAGAUGACUCCGUGGAGCACAUUCCCUGGAAACUGCACUGUAGGAAAUACUUGGAGGAAAGUUCAUCUCUUAGCCUGGGACAUCUACUAGUUUCCCAGGGCUGCCAUAAUAAAGUUCCGCAGUCUUAGGGACUUUAAGUAAUAAAAGUUUUUCUCACAGCUCUGGAGAAAAAGUUACAGAAGAUUCCUAUUUGAAUAAAGCAGACUUUUCUAACAAUAACAAUGAGCUUUAUUAUCCCGAUUGCAGGGUGAUGAGCUCCAGACUGAGUAGGGAUAUGUCAAAAACACGGUAGAAGCUAUUGCUAUAUCAAAUUGGCCUCCUCUCAGCUUUAAAUUCUUUUGUAUCCUAUUGCUCCCUUCUAGGCACAACUUAGCACAGAUACAUUUGAAAAAAUAUAUCCCAAAAAUUAUUUCCUUCCUUCCUUCCUUUCCUCCCUCCCUUCCUUCUUUCCUUCUUUUAUUUCUAGAACCAAAAAUUGCAUUUCUUUUGUGCAGAACUUUAUUCAUUACAAUAUUUGCACUCAGAUGAAAGAAACAUAUUUGGUGAUAGAUGAAAAGGAAAGUAAUUUAUAUUGUCUUUAUUCCAAUAUCAUUUAGCAUGUUCAAUUUACAUGAAUUAUUUGGCUAGAACUCUCAAUUUUUUUUUCUGAGUUAAGAAUGAUCAUAGAUUUAAUCAUAUAUAAGUACUUUAUGAAAUGAAUUAAUUUUGUUUUGAUUCUGUUAAUUUUAAUACAUUUAAAUGGCCAACCUCAGGAGACAGAGGGGGACAAAGCAUUAAGAAUUAAUUGGCAAGAUGAGGUAUGGCUGGCUUAUGUAUGUGGCUGGGGUCUGAAGCUCAGUAAAAGUUGUCCUUAAGUAAUAUAUUUCAUAUCUACUGGAUUCAAUGUGUAUAAACCAAAAUGUGUCUGUGACAUUGAUGGCCCAGUGUGUGCCUAUUCUAGGAAACAGUUUGGAAAAAUGUUUCUGUAAAGAGCCAUAUAGUAAAUACCUUAGGCCUUGAGAGUUACAUAUGUAUAAUAUUUGUCAUGGAUUCUUUGUUUCUUUCUUACCCCUCCUCUUCUUCUGCUUCUACAACAACCCUUUACAA